GACGAACGCUGGCGGCGUGCUUAACACAUGCAAGUCGAACGGAAAGGCCCUGCUUUUGUGGGGUGCUCGAGUGGCGAACGGGUGAGUAACACGUGAGUAACCUGCCCUUGACUUUGGGAUAACUUCAGGAAACUGGGGCUAAUACCGGAUAGGAGCUCCUGCUGCAUGGUGGGGGUUGGAAAGUUUCGGCGGUUGGGGAUGGACUCGCGGCUUAUCAGCUUGUUGGUGGGGUAGUGGCUUACCAAGGCUUUGACGGGUAGCCGGCCUGAGAGGGUGACCGGCCACAUUGGGACUGAGAUACGGCCCCGACUCCUACGGGAGGCAGCAGUGGCGAAUAUUGCACAAUGGGCGGAGGCCUGAUGCAGCAACGCCGCGUGCGGGAUGACGGCCUUCGGGUUGUAAACCGCUUUCGCCUGUGACGAAGCGUGAGUGACGGUAAUGGGUAAAGAAGCACCGGCUAACUACGUG
RNAcentral lists this ribosomal RNA (468 nucleotides) under uncultured bacterium. RNAcentral's name for it is "partial 16S ribosomal RNA". It matches the Rfam family "Bacterial small subunit ribosomal RNA", at positions 28 to 507 of the family's 1533-position model. The record is from RNAcentral.